Tetranychus urticae (two-spotted spider mite) is the source of this 374-nucleotide non-coding RNA. The record is from RefSeq and is a predicted model, not a curated record. NCBI's taxonomy places the organism in Eukaryota, Metazoa, Arthropoda, Arachnida, Trombidiformes, Tetranychidae.
AUCCGCAUUUUACUUUCUCAUUUUUUUCUUGAUUUUUGUAACUAUUCUGAAAGUAAUCAAAAUGCAAUUUGAAACAUUCGUAUUUUUUGUGUACAACAGCACUUUCAUAAUAGUUUUAAUUGGUGCAGCCAUGGCACGAACCCAGUAUCACGAAUCGCGGGAUCGCUCAAAUAUUUUCGAUACUGCUGCAAACCUGGUUAAUGGGAUUUUGGGGUAAACGCGCUUAAUUGAGAAUAAAGCAAUACAGGGUUCUAACUGUACAAAAACCUGUAGGAUUAAUGACGUCAAACCAUUAUCCUUCAAUGAUCUUGUUUUCAUAGUUCAAUACUUGAAAAGGAGAAAUAAAGGAAUAAAAAAUGAAAUUCUAAAACUCA